AAAACGUCUCUUCCUUCUUUUUUUGGUUUUGGACCAGACACGGGAAGAAGAUUACAAUUUUGCGGAUUUGAAAGAAGGUUUCAAAGUAUUACUGAAUCGAAAAUUGAUUUAUCUCAAGGGAGAUAAUCAAUUAUCUACUGUCAUAGGAUUUAUGUAGGAAUUACUCGAAAUUUUCGAAUUGAAGUUUAACUUGUCGAAGAACUCUGACAUCUCCAAGGCCACACUCCAUCCCAGGCCUUCAUUUUCCAUUCGCCUGUUCGUUACUAACUGAUAAUACCCUUAAAAUCUUCCAACUUUGAGAAUAGCGGUUGGCGAAUCUCCAAUUCUUGGACACCUAAAUGACUCACCACUGUUGGUAGCGACAUUAAAGCAGAUGAUCGUAAGCCUCAUGUCUCAAAGAAGGUAAUAUUGUUCCUUUUUAUCGUUGAUUUCAGCCUGAAUGAGACACAUUGGCAUCACAGGAGUAACACUACCAAAACUGUCAGCGCUACUGCGUAACCCACUUCAUCUAGCUAAAAAGUACCUACUUUUACUUAAUAUUGAUUAUAUUACUAUAGUGUAUUGUAUUGAAAUUUCAAAACCUUUUCUCAGCUACCUUUGAACAAUUGUAAACCGAUGGUAUGCAUACUAGAGGGUAGAUAAUUUAUCAAUUGAAUUAGACAACGAAGAAAUCAUUGUGACAAAAUCCUUCGUUUUAAUAUAAUUUAUUUUUCCUUGUGAAUAAAUCAAACUUUGUAGAUUGGUCACGGAAGUUAGAACUGAAAUCUUCGUUACAAUUUUUCUUUACCUUCUAUUAUUGUUAAAAAAAAUAACUGUUUUUCUUUAUUUUUGAAUGACGCUCUCUUUUCCAUAACUUUCAUCAAUAAAAGAUUAGCAAAUUAAUUUA
This is a long non-coding RNA of Leptinotarsa decemlineata (Colorado potato beetle), 886 nucleotides long. NCBI's taxonomy places the organism in Eukaryota, Metazoa, Arthropoda, Insecta, Coleoptera, Chrysomelidae. The record is from RefSeq and is a predicted model, not a curated record.